Long non-coding RNA from Cyprinus carpio (common carp), 1374 nucleotides. RefSeq lists it as uncharacterized. The transcript is spliced from 7 exons. NCBI's taxonomy places the organism in Eukaryota, Metazoa, Chordata, Actinopteri, Cypriniformes, Cyprinidae. The record is from RefSeq and is a predicted model, not a curated record.
UCUUCAGGAUUACUAGAAACUUCCAAGCAGGUGUGAUUUGGAGCCGGCUGGAGCUAAUCUCUGCAGAGCUGUGGCCCUCCAGGAAUUGAGUUUGAGACCACUGGAGUAAAUGAUGCCAGAAUAUCAAUUUGUGGUUAAAUUCUCCCUUUAAUAUCGGUCCUGGCAUGGAAUGCUGAGACACAAAUUCAAAAAGGCGCGCAAGCUUCUUGUAGACCUGAAUAUAAUUAAUGUGCCAGGACAACAUAUUAGAAAAGGCAAAAAAGAAGCCUGACUGAAAAUGAAAAUGAUGCUUCAAUUGUGGAUUUGACUACAGAGGAUGAAUUUAGUAUAAGUCAGCACAUAAUCAAACUGAAGAUAGAAUGUGAGAAAAGAAACCUAACAUCUCCACGCUACAGGAUAAGAUGAAGAAAACUGGGAGGGGGGGUUGUCUUCAUAAAAGAGAGAACAGCUCAAGAAAUACUGAUUCAGUUCCCUGCUUUGAGCUUACCAGCAAUCAACAAAAUAUAAUAUCGAUGUGGACAGAAGAAUUCUGACUGGAUUUGGGACCACUGCAGAGAAAAUACUGACUGAGGAUUCUACUGGCCAUGUACAACACCUCACUUUAAUCACAUGCUGAAGAGGCACAUAAAGAUUUCUAUAGACUAAUGGUAAUUGCAGGAAUCCUUGUCUUGCCAUACCUGUUACAUGAAGAUCCUGCUGGACUUUAUGUGAUAAAUGAGCCUACUCCAAAUCUUACACCAACAAUGGUUAUUAUGGGAGACCCAUUUGGUGAAAGCAGAAUUGCCAUUUUUCUUGAUGGAGAGGAGGUAUUCUAUAAUGAUCCUGAUGAUGUAUCCAUGGCUGUAGGCCUUACAGUGAAUUUUCCCUUUCUGUGACCCCCAUUUAGUACCGGAUUUGCACAUUUUUACCACUGAUUGCAUUGGUAAGGCUAGGAGACAGAGGUAGAAGUCAAACAAGUGUUUAUUGAGGGAACUGAGACGUGAGCCAGCUGAAGACGAGAGGUAAGUGCUGCGUGAAGUAACUGGGUUCUGAAGGCUUGGCUUGCAAUUGCGGUGAAUUAGAAAGCAGGUGAUUCUGAUCUUGAGAACAUCGGUGCUGAUGAUUGUGGUGACUGUGACUCUCUGAUAUUACCUCCUCCCCCAGGGGUGGCUACUUUCGCCCACACCAAACGUGAAUAGAGAGUCUGGCGAGAAGUGUUAGGUCAACGUAAAAACGCGUUUACGCGCGUCUGGAGGUCUCGCGGCGCGAAUUCGCGUCUGACGCCCGAGUUGAAAAAUUGACUUUGGCGUCAAUUCGCGCCGCGUUAACCAAUCAGGAGCCUGCUUGCUGCUGUGGCGGCAGGCCCGCCCGGAGUCACUCAUUCAACAUGGAGGA